Molecule: ribosomal RNA, 639 nt
Filed under: uncultured Actinomycetes bacterium
Lineage: Bacteria; Bacillati; Actinomycetota; Actinomycetes
Description: bacterial SSU rRNA
Rfam family: Bacterial small subunit ribosomal RNA
Source: RNAcentral
CGCGGCCUAUCAGCUUGUUGGUGAGGUAAUGGCUCACCAAGGCAUCGACGGGUAGCUGGUCUGAGAGGACGAUCAGCCACACUGGGACUGAGACACGGCCCAGACUCCUACGGGAGGCAGCAGUAGGGAAUCUUGCGCAAUGGGCGAAAGCCUGACGCAGCAAUGCCGCGUGCGGGACGAAGGCCCUAGGGUCGUAAACCGCUUUCAGUAGGGACGAAAAUGACGGUACCUGCAGAAGAAGCUCCGGCCAACUACGUGCCAGCAGCCGCGGUGAUACGUAGGGAGCAAGCGUUGUCCGGAAUUACUGGGCGUAAAGGGCUCGUAGGUGGUUUGUCGCGUUGUCCGUGAAAACUCACAGCUCAACUGUGGGCGUGCGGGCGAUACGGGCAGACUGGAGUACUGCAGGGGAGACUGGAAUUCCUGGUGUAGCGGUGGAAUGCGCAGAUAUCAGGAGGAACACCGAUGGCGAAGGCAGGUCUCUGGGCCAUAACUGACGCUGAGAAGCGAAAGCAUGGGGAGCGAACAGGAUUAGAUACCCUGGUAGUCCAUGCCGUAAACGUUGGGCGCUAGGUGUGGGGCUCAUUCCACGAGCUCCGUGCCGCAGCUAACGCAUUAAGCGCCCCGCCUGGGGAGUACGGA